This 508-nucleotide ribosomal RNA is filed under the name Galaxias fasciatus (banded kokopu). Its description in RNAcentral is "partial 16S ribosomal RNA". It matches the Rfam family "Bacterial large subunit ribosomal RNA", at positions 1908 to 2571 of the family's 2925-position model. The record is from RNAcentral. Lineage: Eukaryota; Metazoa; Chordata; Actinopteri; Galaxiiformes; Galaxiidae.
UGUGNCUAUGAGUUUAACGGCCGCGGUAUUUUGACCGUGCAAAGGUAGCGCAAUCACUUGUCUCUUAAAUGGAGACCUGUAUGAAUGGCAAGACGAGGGCUAAGCUGUCUCCUUUUCCAGGUCAGUGAAGUUGAUCCCCCCGUGCAGAAGCGGGGAUACCAUCAUAAGACGAGAAGACCCUAUGGAGCUUUAGACACUAGAAAGCCCAUGUCAAACAACCCCUUUUAAGGGCAAAAACUUAAUGGCAACUCAUCUAUUUGUCUUCGGUUGGGGCGACCGCGGGGGAAAAACCAGCCCCCAUGUGGAAUGGGAAUAUCUUUCCUACAGCCAAGAAGAACUUUUCUAAGCAACAGAAAUUCUGACCAAAAAUGAUCCGGCAAUGCCGAUCAACGGACCCAGUUACCCUAGGGAUAACAGCGCAAUCCUCUCCCAGAGUCCCUAUCGACGAGGGGGUUUACGACCUCGAUGUUGGAUCAGGACAUCCUAAUGGUGCAGCCGCUAUUAAGGG